CCAAUAGCGUAUAUUAAAGUUGUUGCAGUUAAAAAGCUCGUAGUUGAACUUCGGGGUCUACCCAUUGGUCAGGCUUAAUUGUCUGCACUGGUGAGAUGGAUCUCUACCUUCUGAGGAACUUUCAUGCCAUUUAUUUGGUGUGGUUGGAAAUCAGGACUGUUACUUUGAAAAAAUUAGAGUGUUUAAAGCAGACUAUCGUCUGAAUACAUUAGCAUGGAAUAAUGAAAUAGGACGGACUGAUUCUAUUUCGUUGGUUUCUAGGAUCACCGUAAUGAUUAAUAGGGAUAGUUGGGGGCAUUAGUAUUCAAUUGUCAGAGGUGAAAUUCUUGGAUUUAUUGAAGACUAACUACUGCGAAAGCAUUUGCCAAGGAUGUUUUCAUUAAUCAAGAACGAAAGUUAGGGGAUCGAAGACGAUCAGAUACCGUCGUAGUCUUAACCAUAAACUAUGCCGACUAGGGAUCGGACGAAGUUAAUUUUAUAAUGACGCGUUCGGCGCCUUACG
This 502-nucleotide ribosomal RNA is filed under the name uncultured Glomeromycotina. Its description in RNAcentral is "partial small subunit ribosomal RNA". It matches the Rfam family "Eukaryotic small subunit ribosomal RNA", at positions 591 to 1092 of the family's 1831-position model. Lineage: Eukaryota; Fungi; Glomeromycota. The record is from RNAcentral.